UAGUGAUGGACUACAAUGUGGAC
Molecule: non-coding RNA, 23 nt
Filed under: Mus musculus (house mouse)
Lineage: Eukaryota; Metazoa; Chordata; Mammalia; Rodentia; Muridae
Source: RNAcentral